Molecule: unclassified non-coding RNA, 6230 nt
Filed under: Dimorphilus gyrociliatus
Lineage: Eukaryota; Metazoa; Annelida; Polychaeta; Dinophilidae
Description: non-specific serine/threonine protein kinase
Source: RNAcentral
AACAUCAGUGUUGUAUUUCCGGUCUACUGCACUUCAUUGACACUUAGCAUUUUUUUGCGUAUGUAAUCGAUUGUAAAACUGCGCAGUUUUCUAAUUUGGAUUAUCCCAUAUAAGCCAAAGGAAAAGUAAAAUAUAUCUGAUUUAUAGUAAUACUUUUUUUGUGAGUGUUUACGAGAGAAUAAAGACAAUUUAUUACAGGAUACUUAAUUUACAGCUGGAAACCAUUUUGUAAAAUGUUGUCGAAUGGUUUUUAACAUUCGCUAAGUUGUUAUGGAUGAAAAUAGCAGUAGAUCAUCAUCUAGAAAAAAUUCUUUACCAGAAGACGAGCCUAAAGUAUCAGCAACAAUUGACAGAAGGAAUGAUUCGGACAGUAUGAAGCACCCACCACCUGCUUUGAAACGUAUGUCAAGUGGUGGUAAAGUAAAAAAACAGGUUACAAUUGAAGAUUCACCACCGCUAGACACCACAGAAGUAUUUGAACGUAAGAUUUCUUCUGCUGAUAAUAAGUAUUAUGAAAGUAUACCCGUAAAUGAACAAGAAAAUUACAAAUCAGAGCUGUCUUCUGAAGCUAAUCCUAGUAUUCGAGUUAAUGAUAAAGAAUUAGAGGAUGAGAAAGAGGAUAAGAGUGGGGAGAAGGAGGAUGAGGAGUAUAAAAGUGUACAUGCAUCUCCUGAUAGCAGAUUUCUUAAAUUCAAUCAAGAAAUUGGAAGAGGAUCAUUCAAAACAGUUUAUAAAGGAUUAGACACAGAAACAGGUGUUCAAGUAGCAUGGUGCGAGUUACAGGUAACACUUAAAAUAUAUUUUUUAGGAAAAUGAUUGCACAUGAUUUUGAAGGACAAGAAAUGGCAUAAGAAAGAACGAGAGCGUUUCAGAGAAGAGGCGAGCAUGCUAAAGGAUCUUCAACAUCCAAAUAUCGUCCGAUUUUAUGACUCCUGGGAGGAAACCAACACGAGGAAUAGAAAAAUCAUCGUUCUCGUAACAGAGAUGAUGACCUCCGGAACUUUGAAAACGUUCGUACAGUGAUUAGAGAGAUUUGGGUUAUGAUUUGUUUUACAACAGAUACAUCAAAAAGUUUAAAAAUAGAGUGCAAUUGAAAGUUGUUAAGAAUUGGUGUAGGCAAAUUCUGCGAGGAUUAUGCUUCUUACACACGAGAAUGCCGCCUGUUAUUCAUCGUGAUCUGAAGUGUGACAAUAUUUUCAUUACCGGAACAACGGGAUCCGUAAAGAUCGGGGAUUUAGGCCUAGCUACUUUAAAAAACAAGAGCUUUGCUAGGAGUGUUAUAGGUACGCCAGAGUUUAUGGCUCCCGAAAUGUAUGAGGAACAUUACGAUGAAGCGGUUGACAUAUACGCUUUCGGGAUGUGCAUGUUAGAAAUGUGCACAUCAGAAUAUCCUUACAAAGAAUGUACAAAUCCUGCACAAAUUUUUCGCCGUGUAACUGCUGGAGUUAAACCAGAGAGUUUCGAUAAAAUUGACAAUCCAGACGUGAAGGAAAUUAUAGAAGGUUGCACAAAGAGUCGAAAAGAAGACAGAUUUUCUGCAAAGGAACUCCUACAACAUCCAUUUUUUGCUGAAGUAAAAUUAGAACUUUCAGAAGUAGGAUCAGAUAAUAAUACAAUUAAACUUCAUUUUCGAUUAAUUGAUGCAAAACGGAGAAAAGACAAGCAUAAAGAAAACGAGGCUAUUGAAUUUGAGUAUAGCUUAAACACUGAUUCACCUGAAGAUGUUGCAAAGGAAAUGCUUAAAUCCGGCUAUGUUGUAGAUUCAGACUUUAACUCAGUUGUUAGACAGAUAAGGGACCUAACUAAAAAAUGGAAUCAAGAGAAACAACAACAAAACCCUAAUGCCACAGCAGUUCAGGAGAACAAAGAACAAGGUCAGAUACCUGAACAACCGGCGGAUGUUACCACCCAACCAGUAACUACACAACAUGCUCCUAUUCAACAUCAGGCGUCAGUUGAUUUACGUCCAGAUCAGCAACAUCAGCCAGUAGAAGAAACAGUGAGAGAUUCAGAUAUUGAAUCGAGUGAAGUUAAAAGAGCCCCUGUUCCUCUUGCUCAAAAAAAAGAAAAGGCUAAGUCUCGACAAAAACGAAGAACAGGCGAACUUGGCAAUGAAUUAAGAGUUGAGCUAAAGGGAACAAAACAUGGAAAAAUUGAAUGUGAAAUGUCAGGAGGGAAAGGAGAAAGAGAUGCUGAAGUUGUUACUUUUGAAGUCGAUAAAGUUGACAUGGAUGCUGAUGAGAUGGCUGAGUCUCUCGUGGAAGCAAAGCAUUUGGAUUUGGGCCUAGUAGAUAAAUUUAAAAGUCAAAUUGCCAAAUUGUUAUCUAAAGUUCAAGAAAUACUGCCAACCCCAACGCAUCCAACUCCACUCAUGUCGGACGGAGAUGCCCACAACAUUCCUCUGCAAACUUCAUCAGCUCCCAACAUGAAUGAUACUGACAGAUCUAGACAAGCUAGUCAAGAACCAGAGAAUAAACAUACAGAAUUCUUCCUUGAAAGUAAUGAUAGUUCGGUUCAGAGAGUUAAAAAAGACGAUGUGUUCAGAGGCAAUUACGGAGAUUAUAAAAGAGAUAGGAACACACUUUCGAGUCAACCAGUUACAGGUGGUAGUAGUUUACCUCCAACUCCAUCUGCGACAAGCGGUAUGGCAAAUGUAAACCUUGAUGACGUAUAUACUAAAUUGUCGGUGUAUCAAUGUCGAGGUGAUUUAGCAAAAGCCUAUUUGGGACAACUACGAGAUUUAUUAAAUCAAGCGUUUACUUUUAUAAAUAACCCGGCGGCUUUGUAUCCUAUAACUCAGCAGAUAGCUACAGUCUUCCAGCUUGUUUCUCAAUUUCCGCUGGAGAAUACUCCUGAUACCCAAGCAUUGAUGGGGCAAGCCUUAUAUUUUGUGAAAGCAUGUCAACUACCAACACAACCACCCGUUGUACCACAAAGGAGAGAGAGUGCACCUGUUCACCCUGCUAGUCAGCAUAGCUUUUACGCCAAUCCUCAAUCGUCUUCCUUUAACAAUAUGCCACCACAAGAUUUGGCAAACUUACAUCAAAAGUUACAAAAUUUACAUUCGAGGCCUAUGAAUAUGCAUGCAUUUCCUCAAAAGGGAGGUGAAGUAGAAGAUCAACCAACUUUUACUGAAACUGAUAAUCUUGAGAAACCACGAAGGAGUAAAUUACAAAUUAUUAAUGUUUCACCUGGCGGCAGUGAAAGAUCGGUUCCUGUUAGAAAGGACGAUCAUCCACAACCUCAAAGUACUUCUCCGGUAUCCUCUCCUAACAAGCAAUUAGGACGUUUCAAAAUUUCGGCGGUAGAGGAGACCGACGACGGUAAGAGUAAAGAAAAAGAACGUGAAAAAGAAAAAGAACGAGAAAAAGAGCUAGAAAAAGAGCGAGAAAGAGAACGAGAACGAGAAAGAGAAAGAGAAAGAGAGAGGGAUAAGGAAAGAGAAAGGGAACGGGCUGAAAAGGAAAAGGAAUCUGGACCAAACAUCGAUAGUUAUCAUCAUUGUGUUCCUACAGUCUUAUCAGCAAAUACUAGUGUAAUCCAUCAUACAGACAACGAUAAUGGCUAUGGUCCAACAAAGAAUACUGAUUUUGAUUCCGUAUCGGAGGCUGAGAGCAAUGCUUUGGAAUCCCAACAGGAGAGCCAGGUUGCACGCAAUAAUACGUAUCCUGCUUUAAAUCAUCAACUAUUUUCUGUUGAAAAUUCGUCUGCUUAUGGCUCCACUACUAGUUCGCAUCGAAUUAAAGAAUUAUCCGAGCUUGACGCUUUGCUCAUGCAGCACCCUUUGUAUGAUCCUGAAAGGUCUCAAGAUCUAAUGAAUUCUGCAAUGAGGCAAGCCAUGCAACAGGAUCCUACUUAUGCUGAUAUGGAAGCUAGGCAUACACAUGAGUACCAACAGUAUGUUUCAUCUUUUAAACAACGUUUCGCAGAAGCUAUACUAAGGAAUAUGCCUCAUAUUGCAAAUACAUUGGCUAAGCAAACCUCACCUCCCUUGUCACAGAAUACCAGCAUCUCUUGCCUAAACCCAGUUCAACAACCUUUGAUAGAUCAGCAAUCAGCUUUUUCAAUGCAAAUGGGUGUUACACCGGGUUCUCAGCUAUCAAGUAUGCAAUUAACAGGCGUUGCCUGUCAUUCGAGAAAUGGACAAAGCACACCUCAGCAAAGUCAAGCCCCUAUUGUUAGCCAGAAUGCUCCAAAUAUGCAAGCUUAUAGUCAACAAACUUUUCCACAUUCGGCUGCUGUGACCAGUAAUUCCUUUCAGCCGGUUCGACAGACACCACCAACAAUAGGAAUGCAAAAACCCUCGAAUGUUCAACUACCACAGAAUCAGGCCUAUUUUAACAAUACUGUUCCGGUUAGACAAGUGCCACCAGCAAUGAUGAAUUUUAUGCCGAAUCAGGUUACGGGCUACAAUCAAGUUCCUAUGUCGAAAAAUCCUGUGGGACAAGGUUUUAUGAGUGCUCAAGGUAUUCAACCGCCAACUCAGCCUAUUGAUACGAUAGAUAAUUUGAGACAAUCUUUAAGCAACGUUUUGAACAUUGAACGAACAAGGAUAGAUAGCUCAUCUAAGUUACAACAGUCUAACAUCCUCGAAAGUGACACAAAGCCCAUGGACCCAGUUCGAGAUGGUGAUUCAUCUCCAGUUGCGAAUCUUAAACAAAAGCCUAAUCCGGACAUCUAACAAAUAUUAUCUUUAAAAAAAUUAUGGUAGGCUUAAUUUCGCUUGUUAAACUUACGCUGAAGCUACUAUGCCGUAUUUUUUAGUUACAAUGAGUGAGCAGACUAUUUUAGUUUACGAACAUUUUAGUGAACUGCAUAUACUUCGGCCGAAGAGACUAGAAAUCUUGUAGCCAAUGUCCCACCCCGUACCCCCUCCACGCCAACUUCUCUUAACCUCCUUUCUUUCCUUCCCGCUAGUGUUUAAAAUUUUACUGAUUUAAAUUUUUGCCACUGUUCAUUCGUCUUUGUUUAUAGAUUCAAUUUAGCGCAUGCGUUUAUUUUUUCGUUUAACACAACAACAUAUACACAUUCGAGUCUUUGUUUUUAUUCUAUAUUCUAUAGAAAUUCUUUGUAUAUUUGUUACAGUUCAUUCAUAUAUUAUGAUGUCUGAAAAUUUACUGAAACAUACCGUCACUGAUUUACAUACAAAUAACUUUCAAAAAUACAUAUAUGGAAUCAGAUUUUACAAUUCCAUACGCCUCAAUAGAAUCAUUUGUAAUACUUCAUUAAAACUUAAAAAGCUAUCCUUUCUGUUAAAUGUAUUAGUCAUCUACUAAAUUCCCUUUUCAUAUCCCUACCCUAAUCCUUUCCUUUCUAUUUUUGAACCCAUUUAUAUCCUUUCAGAUUACGUAAGCUUUUUUCAAUUUACCAGAAACAGAAAAGAAGAAAAAAAAAAGACUUCUAUUUUACUUUUCUUUUUAGUAACAAGACUGGUUAAUUUUAUCCUAUUAACCCUUUUCCUAUGCCUUCUGUAUAUUUAUCUAGUUCUUAUUCUAUAUUCUGCUAUUAGUCUCUCGCACUCUCCCUCUCCUACCCAUCUAUCUCCCUUUCCAGACCAAUCUGUUAAUGGUGUAAUCCUUCGUAUAGACUAUUUGGUCGUGACAGCUGUUAUCAGCAUGAAUAAUCUUUCACAAAGAAUAAUCUACUAAACUCUCGAUUUAUAAUUGAAAAGAAUUAGGGUAGCGUUUAUUGAUUUCUAUUCUCUUUCUAUUAUAUAUCUUAUUGCAUAUUCGACCUAAUGCCAAGAUGAAAAUUAGUAAUAACAAUGAUGUUAAUAAUAACAAGUAAAUCUAUAUUGUAUGAAAUAAUUGCAAAUACUCUAUUUUUUAUUAUAAAACUUUUAUUUCUGCUGAUUUUCUCUGAUAUGAACUAGAAAAUGUCAAAACUAUUGUAUUUAGACUAUAUUUACUUUAAUCGACCUUGAAAAUUGAUGCAUACUUGCACGUACCACAAUACAGGCUUGGAAAUCACAUUAAGUAAAUACGUAACGUUUGCCAAGGCUAUGCUAAUCGUUACUUGGUCUAUUUUUAGAAUGACAAACUAAGAAAAAUAGUUUACUUAAAAAGCUUUUUUUUACUUUUUUCUUUUGUUGGUUGCACAACAUUGAUAUCAAGGCUUAAACUGCUGUAUAUUGUAUAAAUCUUUGAGAGGCUUUAUUAGAUCAAGUCUCUUAAAGGUCAUGUGAUACUUAAGGAUUUACUGAAAAUAAAAUUGCAAUUUUUAAUAAUUAA